Molecule: unclassified non-coding RNA, 2747 nt
Filed under: Leishmania donovani
Lineage: Eukaryota; Euglenozoa; Kinetoplastea; Trypanosomatida; Trypanosomatidae
Description: gene:LdHU3.24.2480(CDS-product:hypothetical_prote in_conserved)
Source: RNAcentral
GCAUGCGCACAGUCGCACCGCUGCUUGCGAGCGAGAACUUGGCUUCAAGACUUGACGGGAGAGCGCGCGCGAGUGCAAACGCCGUCCGCACGCCAUCGACGAUGCGGUCCACCUCUGCGCUGUAUCGCCACGCAUGUGAUGAGGAAGGCUGCGUCUCUCACAGUGAGCUGGUGAAGCUUUUUCACGGCAUCGACGUGGCCCUCGGCACGGAUGCCGAUGCUACCACGAACGCCAACGACAUGACGGCGGCGCCGCAACCGCCAGCGCUCGCCGACAAGAUGCUUCUGGCCUAUGCCCCCAACCUGUGCUUCCCCACUCACCUUACCCUGUCGCAGUCCUAUCUCGGCGACACCGGGCUCGCGGCUUUCAUGCGAAUGCUACCGAUGCUGCGGUGGGUGCGCGUCAUCGAAGCGCGCGGCGUCGGCGCAGGACCCCGCACGAUCGAAGCGCUGAGUGCUGCUCUGACGGCGUACUUGGUGGAGGGGUGCGAGGAAGCCGCCGCGCUGCCGACCGUGGCGACAAUGGGCGACUCUGUGUCGGGAGCAGAGCAGCUGGCGGGUGGACGGCUGCCCGCCCUGGAGCUGGUAGACUUGCGCGACAGCAACGGCAUCUACGCCCUCUCCGGUCAGCGGCUUCUCACUGCCCUCCGCAAGCGGCGCUUGAUGUUGCGUGCGUGGUGCGCCGCCCACGCUGGCGUGGGCGAUGUUGUACCAGCGCUGGAGGUGCUCGUGGAUCUUGACGCGCUCCCGCCAUCCACGGCGAACGCGCUGCAUGAGUGGAACGAGGAGGCCGCGAACAUCAAGUAUCAGCGCAUGCUGGCCCGCGAGACGCAUCGGUGGCAAGAACAAGUGCAAGUGUUCACAGUGCGUAGCGCCGUCAGCGAGGCAAUGAAGCUCGGCGACAGCGAUAUGCCAGACACUGCCGUUGCUGGGGCAGCGGCCAGGCAGCCUGUUGGCGAACACGUCAUCUUCCGCUUACCCUCCUCCGCCGACGGUGACUCGCAGACGGCACAGAUGACGUGCGAAGUAAACGCGUGCAUGAGCGACUUCCUGACCGCGUCGUGCUGCCUCAGCUCGGCAGAGGGGGCAGCACCACAGCCCGCCCAUGUUGUGAGUGGCUAUUCAUCUCUCGCUUGCCCGCUACCCACCUUGGACGGCGUGCGUGCUGCACUGCAAGUGUGCAUCGACUUCGGCGCCGACACGCUUGCCAUCCUGCCACACACCAACGCUGCCCUCUGGUACGUGGCAAGUGUUUGGCAGCAGCAGCAGCAGAAGCAGCAUACAACGACGCCGUCAAGCAGCACAGACACCGCCGAAGAUGUACAGCUGAACUACUGGGAGGCGAAGGCGAACGUGGCGGCUCUUCUGCGCGGCCUUCAGGCCAACCCGGCUCUCGAGACGGAGCUGGAGACAUCGACGCAGGCGGGUGGCAUUGUGAUUCAGCGCCACCUGUAUCGACUGCGACAGUUGUACGUGCAGCUCGACCAGAACGACGCCCCGCACGAAAACGCGAUCUGCACCGCGCGAGUGGCAGAAGCGGGAGCAACACCGCUGGGCGAGAUGGUGGCCCUCUACUACCGAAUCGUCGCCGCCCUCGUCACUCGGCGCUUCUCCGAGACUCAUCUCCCCUCGAUGCGAGCGUGCGAGCAGCACAUAUCGGACGUCACCGAGCACGUGCUCAGCCACCUCGUGGUCGGCGAGGAGUCGUCAGAAGCGCUGGAGGCGCGCAUCGAGCGCCUUCGCUGGCGCCUGCGCAGCUCCAGCGAUGCGGGGAGCGUGCCCAGCGGACGGCCCGCUGGCGAUUCUGGCUUCAGCCAGAGCAUGCGUGCACUGCCUCCGGUAAUGGCUCGGUGCCUGUAUCAUCUCCGACGCCACCAAGCCGAGGGGGAAGCGUGGGUGAAGACGUACGCAGGAACGGCUGUUGCAGCUCCACAGCUGUCGUCGUCGGCCGCGGCUGCCCCCAUCCACGCCUUCCACGCUUGUCACUGCGCAGACGGGCUGCGACGCCAUAUGGACGAGUGCGCCGCGCCGACCUCCUCCAAUGAAGGGCUGUCGUCUAACUUGCUUCCGCUGCCGUGCACCUCCUGCUGCUACCAUGCUCUGCAAGCUGCGCAGACACUCCUGCAAAGCCCGGGGGAGGAGUCGUCGGGGGAGUCUGAGCUGUGUGCACGGUGGGCUAUUCUGGAGCCGGUGCGGCGAGCCCUCCCGCGCGAGCUGCGCAUGUUCUUCUUGGAUAUGGUUAUUCGCCAUCGCAGUCGCGUGCGCGGCGGAUGUGCAUACGUUCCGUCGCUGGACUCCGUGGCGGGUGCCGGUGCGCCGCUGCCGGUGAGUAUGGUGGACUGGCUGGCAUACACCGAGCACCAGGGCGAGAACUGGGCAAAGGUCCUUCGCGUGUUCGGCGAGUGGUAUCGGCUGCGUGCCUUGGAGUCGUAUGGGAUUGCUGAGGCGCGUACACUGCUGCGCCAACCGCCCACCUAGCGCCGCCACGCAUUCCCACACAUAUGGAGGAGAAGGGGCAUUCUGCCUGCGUGCGGAAGAGCGCACCCACGCGCGUUCCCGCCCGCCCUCUUUUCUCCAUGAGUAAUGUACAAUAGACCCCUCCAUGCGGUGCUUGCGACGCUUUCCUCGCUUUCCAUCGUUGGAUUCUUUGGCGUGCUAUCGCCGCCUUUUGUGUGUGUGCGCGGAUGCGGUGCUGCACUGGACGCGCGUCGUCCUGCGGGCCAAGUCAUUGUUCACGCAACGAAAUAC